UUUAGUCCAAAUUCUAUGGUAUGCAUCCACCUUAUCCUCUUGCUUGUAUCAAACAUCCAUAUGUUGAGCAAAAGUAAAACCAUUGGACAAAUACAAUACCAGUAUAUGAAGAUUGAUACACAAAUUCCAAUAUUUAAAGUUGGAUACAUACUAUAGUGGCUUUUGGGCUGUAGUUGGAUAACCCUAAAUUUAUAUAGGACUGAACCCAUAACAAUUGAACGUUUUUAUCGUAUAUGAAGAUAACAUGAAAUGUAUUGUAUUGAGAGAUCCUACCUUUUUUAUCCGGACACCUUUAAGACUCAUUUCGAGUUUAGUUUCCAGCUUCUGCAGAUCAUUGGCAUUCAAACCUGUAAGUUCUUCUCCCAACAGCUGCCUGCAAGUAUGGAAUCACCGGGUAAAAACAAAUCUUUUCCAAAGGACACUUCUCAUUUGCUCCAGAAUUUAUGAAUAAAAUAAAUACUACAAAACCAACGGUGCUGUAUCAAUCCCUACUUAAUAAAGGAUGCUGUAAUAAGCCGGUGAACAAGUGAAAUUCGUGUUUAUGUUAAUGGUGCUUGUAGAAUAAUAAAAACUACUUUGGUAUGCUUUAUGAGUACAGGGAAUAGAUAUAUCAGCAUAAAUACGGAAUAUUUUCUAAAUAUUCUUAACCUUAGAUGAAAGGCACACUAAAAGGAAUGCAUGUCUAGUACGAGCUAUGAGUUCUGACUGUCUCGGACGACUCUUGCCUAGAUAGUUCAGGCCGUACCGCCACUGAAUUAGUUCCAAGAAAGCGGCCGCCCACUAACUGAACUGCGGGAACAAAGAAUUUCAUUUGUAGGGUUUGGUGGCCCGAAAUUGACUUGGCUUCGCCAAAAGGCCUCUAAAGUUCUCCGCUGUCACAUAGGCUCGAGACAUGCCUCCUAUCGUGCUUUCUUCCCUGCUCCCCUACUUCACUUAAGAAUCCAAAGGUGACUUGGGAUGAUUUUAGAAGGAGCUGCUGUGUUGAUUCUUUCUCUGAUUUUCUUUUUUGACUAUUAUGAAGGUAAUUUCUUUAAAUACAAUGAGCAAACAGGUUAUAUGAAGUAAAAAGAAAAAAUUUAUGUAAAGCUCUCCAAGUGAAGAUGUAAAUAGAAUGAUGUGUGUAUUGCACUCCCAAAACCCUGUUUUCAAUGCUUAGGCUACUUUCAUAGUGCUCGCUGCUGUGGCGAUCUAGAGUAGCAUGUGUUUGUUGCUCACUGCAACUGCAGCAUGGUCCACAAUCAUGUCAACUGAGAGCUCAGUUCAAACUCUAGUGAACUUAUUCUUACAAGGACCAACUCUAAUUCUAGCCAGUCUAGAUUGGUUGUUGUCUUCCGGAACAUACGAAACUACUCACUGCUUAGACCCAUUCAACCCAAAUAGCCAUUUUAAAUCCAGAGAUUGUUGUUCCAACAGAGUUGCUGUGUACUUUUCUUUGGCUUCUUCCUUCUUGACUGAUCAUCCGGUUUAAAUCACAGCAUUCCGCAUCCGAUGAACCAAAAGCAGUUAAAAUCGCCUUUCAUUUGCUAAUUUCAGCAUAUUAAUGCGGUCAAUCACAUUUCUCAUGCUGAUAAAGAGCAGACAAGAACACAUUAGUAGGGCCACUGUUGCAGUACUUGUAAUUAUAAUGCAAAGGUGUUAGGGUGAUGGCAUCGCAUGGAUUAAAGGUGAGUGGUGGGUGGUGACCACAAGUGGAACACCGCCGCCGAUGGGUGUCCACGCAUGGGUGGUUGGAUUUGGGUGGAAGUUCCACUUGCGUGGAAGGUGAGGCAAAGUCAACCGUUUGAAGAUUUUGACCGUUUGAGACUUACUUUUUUUUUAACCCCCUUUUUCUAUUUAAACACUCUUUUACAUUCACUAAUUCAUUCAUAUAUACACAUUCAUAUUUACACACAUUUACCCGUUCUUUCAUCCAUACUUUUCACUUCAAACAUAGCAAACAACAACCAAAAUAUGACUCUGCGGGAUGUUAAUUAAAAUGGAGAUGUAAACACACACGAAUAACGACGUCAGACAUCGAUAUGUAGUAAACAACGUCAUUAUGUAAUGUUUUUUUUUAUGUUUUUUUUAGUAUUAUGUAAUGGUUUUAUGUUUAAUAAAAUUUAGUUUUAAAAAUAAAAAUUAAAAUUGUAGUGAGUAGUGGGUGAGUGAUGACAAUGCCAACAAAAUUUGGGUGAGUGGUAGAUUGGAGGUGACAUAAUGCAAUUGGUU
Molecule: long non-coding RNA, 2208 nt
Organism: Erigeron canadensis
Lineage: Eukaryota; Viridiplantae; Streptophyta; Magnoliopsida; Asterales; Asteraceae
Exons: 6
Source: RefSeq, a predicted model, not a curated record